CAAAACUUCAUCAACCCUUUUUCUCUCUCUCUCUCUCUAUCUGGCGACUCAUGAACCUGUAAGGAUUUCACCAGAUCUAGAUCUAGGGUUUUACUUUCAUUCGAAUUCAAAUCCAUGACCCCAACCUGUGACGGUGUGGUGUGCAGUGUUAAAAUCCGCUGAUUAGGGUUCCGGCAGUGGGAUUCUCGAGCAGAUUGGUGGCAGACGAGCAUCUGGCUGUAGAUGGUGGUUGAGGAAAACUAGGGUUUCGUAAGUUGAGAUUCCGGCGAUCUAGGGCUUAAACAAGCUUUCUCCAGCAAUGUCCAGCAACGAGGAUCCGUCUACGAUUUUGAUGUUCCUAAUCGUUUAUCUAUUACACAAUUGCACAUGUAUUAGUUGUGAUUUCCCCUUUUCAAGAUCCCCAAGAACAUGGUGUUCGAGAGGGAGAGGCCGCGGAUGGAGUUUACUUCAUAUGGGAAGGCGAGGUAACUUUUCUCUUGUGCAACAUGUGACUUUUAAUUCUUGAGUUUAGAUGCAUAUUUGAGUUUGGUUUAUUCUAGAUAAGUAAUAUAUCUAAACAAUUUAUAAACAAAUCUAAACAAAAUCUAAAGCAUCUAUUCAUCAAGAGUAUUUGUUUUCCAACAAUUUUCGUUAAACAAAACCUGUUAGCUUUUAGUA
Molecule: long non-coding RNA, 657 nt
Organism: Helianthus annuus (common sunflower)
Lineage: Eukaryota; Viridiplantae; Streptophyta; Magnoliopsida; Asterales; Asteraceae
Exons: 3
Source: RefSeq, a predicted model, not a curated record